RNAcentral lists this ribosomal RNA (513 nucleotides) under uncultured bacterium. RNAcentral describes it as "partial 16S ribosomal RNA". It matches the Rfam family "Bacterial small subunit ribosomal RNA", at positions 28 to 523 of the family's 1533-position model. The record is from RNAcentral.
GACGAACGCUGGCGGCAUGCCUAAUACAUGCAAGUCGAGCGAACAGAUGAAGUGCUUGCACUUCUGACGUUAGCGGCGAACGGGUGAGUAAUACGUAAGGAAUCUACCUAUAAGCGGGGGAUAACAUUCGGAAACGGGUGCUAAUACCGCAUAAUAUCUUCUUCCGCAUGGAAGAAAAUUGAAAGACGGCUCUGCUGUCACUUAUAGAUGACCUUGCGGUGCAUUAGUUAGUUGGUGGGGUAAUGGCCUACCAAGACGAUGAUGCAUAGCCGACCUGAGAGGGUGAUCGGCCACAUUGGGACUGAGACACGGCCCAAACUCCUACGGGAGGCAGCAGUAGGGAAUCUUCCGCAAUGGGCGAAAGCCUGACGGAGCAAUGCCGCGUGAGUGAAGAAGGCCUUCGGGUCGUAAAACUCUGUUAUAAGAGAAGAACAAAUUGUAGAGUAACUGCUACAGUCUUGACGGUAUCUUAUCAGAAAGCCACGGCUAACUACGUGCCAGCCGCCGCAGUAA